UCGAUGUGAAAGCUCUGAGUUAACUCAGAAAUGGCAUUGAUACUAUCCGGCUCGAGGGUUGGAGGGGGGACUGGAAUUCUCGGUGUAGCAGUGAAAUGCGUAGAUAUCGAGAGGAACACCAGUGGCGAAGGCGAGUCCCUGGACGACUCCUGACACUGAGGCGCGAAAGCCGGGGGAGCAAACAGGAUUAGAUACCCUGGUAGUCCCGGCUGUAAACGGUGCGCAUUUGCUGUGAGCGGAAUCGACCCCGUUCGUGGCGAGGCUAACGCGAUAAAUGCGCCGCCUGGGAAGUACGGUCGCAAGAUUAAAACUCAAAGAAAUUGACGGGGGCCUGCACAAGCGGUGGAGUAUGUGGCUCAAUUCGAUGCAACGCGAAGAACCUUACCUGGCCUUGACAUGUAUGUAGUAGAAGGGUGAAAGCCUGACGAGGUAGCAAUACCAGCAUACACAGGUGCUGCAUGGCUGUCGUCAGCUCGUGUCGUGAGAUGUUGGGUUAAGUCCCGCAACGAGCGCAACCCUUGCGUCCUGUUGCCACCCGGCCGAGAGGCUGGAGCACUCUGGACGGACUGCCUCAUUUAAAUGAGGAGGAAGGUGGGGAUGACGUCAAGUCAGUAUGGCCCUUACGGCCAGGGCUGCACACGUACUACAAUGCCCGGCACAAAGGGAAGCAAAACGGUAACGUAGAGCAAAUCCCCCAAAACCGGGCCCAGUUCAGAUUGUCGUCUGCAACUCGACGGCAUGAAGCUGGAAUCGCUAGUAAUGGCGCAUCAGCUACGGCGCCGUGAAUACGUUCCCAGGCCUUGUACACACCGCCCGUCACAUCAUGAAAGCCGGUUGUACCCGAAGUCCAUGUGUUAACCGCAAGGAGACAGUGGCCGAAGGUAUGGCUGGUGAUUGGGAUGAAGUCGUAACAAGGUAGCCGUAGGGGAACC
RNAcentral lists this ribosomal RNA (932 nucleotides) under uncultured bacterium. RNAcentral describes it as "bacterial SSU rRNA". It matches the Rfam family "Bacterial small subunit ribosomal RNA", at positions 589 to 1512 of the family's 1533-position model. The record is from RNAcentral.